Long non-coding RNA from Meriones unguiculatus (Mongolian gerbil), 524 nucleotides. RefSeq lists it as uncharacterized. The record is from RefSeq and is a predicted model, not a curated record. The transcript has 3 exons. NCBI's taxonomy places the organism in Eukaryota, Metazoa, Chordata, Mammalia, Rodentia, Muridae.
CAGGUGAUAGAAUUGUUCAUGUUAAAGAAAGAAAAAAAAGGAAAUACCUUCUGAAGCUACACAAAGAGUUGAACGGAAUACAAUAAAAAUGAUGAUUGUGUCUUCCUCAAAAAAAGAAAAGAAAAAAAAAAAGCUGUGCAAGUCAUGCCAUGGCAGAAAGCCAGGAAACAGCAUUUCUCCAUUCUCUCUGCAUCAUCUCCUGCCUCCAGGUUCCUGCCCAGUUUCAGUUCCUGCCUUGGCUUCCUUCAAGUGCUGUGACCCAGAAUAUAGCGAACAGAGUGAAUGAGAAUUAUUUCAACCUUCAGUUCCUCAUUAGCGGAUCACCCAAAUGUAAGAAGAAAACUACAUUCAUCUGGCAGAGGAAAUCAGUGUUCCAGAGUAGCUAUGAAUGGGAUCAUAUGGAGAGAGAGUCCUUCGUGAGCCAGCCAUUCCUCUGUGGGGCAGAGUCUGUACUCCAGAAUGGAUAGCCCUUCGCCCUAUGCUUUUCAGUUCUGCUGAACUUCACCUCACCUCUACAGGUAGCU